Hydractinia symbiolongicarpus is the source of this 737-nucleotide long non-coding RNA. RefSeq lists it as uncharacterized. The record is from RefSeq and is a predicted model, not a curated record. Lineage: Eukaryota; Metazoa; Cnidaria; Hydrozoa; Anthoathecata; Hydractiniidae. The transcript is spliced from 2 exons.
AGCAAACCGGUAUCUUAUAUACAAGCUGACAGCGCAACUUUCAGGAUAAAUGCUAGGUAGCUAAUUGAAAUACAUCAUUUUAUAUUAUAUCCAUAGAAACCAAGACAACUUUUAAAUAGCAUUGUUGACUUGAAACAGAUAGUAAUUAAUUUGGCAUCAUAUGACGCAUACUUGCUUUAUUGUUUAUGCUUUUAGUGAUGAUAAAGGAACAUUUGAACUUCCUACUUUUAUUUUCCUCAGUAUUAUUCCUUAUUUUAGUUGAAUUGUUUUUGUCAUUUCGUUGUUGAUGUUAGUGGUGGAUUUAGGGAGAAAGAAGUCACAUGAUUUUUUGUUAUCAAAGGUUUACUCUCGGUUGGGUUGGAUAAAGAAGUUGUUAUGCCUGGCACGGCGAAUUUUUGAAUUAGAAGCAGAUGUGAAGUAGAAAAAGUUGCUCUUCUUUUAUCAACGAUUUUAUCUUAAAGAAUGGUUUACUUUAAUUAAAAGAUCUCAUAAAUACUAUUUUCUGGUGAACAUUGUUUAUCGAUGGACGGUGUUAUAGGUAGAAGCAGAUUUUGUAAUGUUUGUAAUGUGAUUUUAGCUAGUUAAAUGUAUACUAUUUCUGAACUAGUAAAAUACCAAAUCACUAAGCUGUGAAAUUUUUGUUAGUUAUAUAAGAACGGAAAAAUGCCUUAUUCACAUAAAAAAUGUAUAAUUUAUAUUUUAUAAAAUAUUAGGUUUUUUGUGUUGAGUUUCUAUUA